ACACAGGCUUUCUGGUGACUGAGUCAACAGUAUCUGUUUCAUAAAUAAUGUAGCCUUAUUUCUUUCUUUCUUUAUUUCUUUUUUUUUUUUUUUUUUUUUGAGACAGGGUCUUGCUCUGUUACCCAGGCUGGAGUGCAGUGGUGCGAUCUUGGCUCACCGCAACUUCCGCCUCCCGCAUUCAAGUGAUUCUUCUGCCUCAGCUUCCCGAGUAGCUGGGAUUACAGGUGCCACCAUGCCUGGCUAAUUUUGGUUUUUGUUUUUUUGUGGGGUUUUUUGUUUAUUUUUUGAGAUGGAGUUUUGCUCUUGUUGCCCAGGCUGGAGUGCAAUGACACAAUCUCGGCUCACCACAACCUCUGCCUCCUGGGUUCAAGCGAUUAUCCUGCCUUAGCCUGUUGAGUAGCUGGGAUUACAGGCAUGCACCACCACUCCUGGCUAAUUUUGUAUUUUUAGUAGAGACGGGGGUUUCUCCAUGUUAGUCAGGCUGGUCUCAAACCCCCGACCUCAGGUGUUCCACCCGCCUUGGCCUCCCAAAGUGCUAGGAUCACAGGCAUUAGCCACCGCACCCAGCCUAAUUUUUGUACUUUUAGUAGAGAUGGGGUUUUACCAUGCUGGCCAGGCUGGCUCGAAUUUCUAACCUUAAGUGAUCCGCCUGCCUCGGCCUUUCCAAGUGUUGGAAUUACAGGCAUGAGCCACCACGCCCAGGCAGCCCUAUUUCUUUAAACCUAUAUAUUUUGCACUUGUUAAAAGUAUUUGUACAUACACUUAUCCAGCUUCCCUUGUUUAUGUAUGCUUGAAUUUUGUAUAAGCUUAAAUAUUUUUUCCAAUCUAAGCUUUAUUUUAUCCCCUUUCUUCUACAUUUGUAUAACUUUAGGUGACUGUCUUUGUUAAAGUUUUUUCUGAAAAGGCUUAAAAUACAAUAUAGUUCUUGGCAUCAACUUGAAAGUUAUUUGAGGAGAAAGGGAGAUUUAUAAUGAUGAUUCAAAUGAAGCAAACUAAAAAAUAAUGAAGCAAGACGAGGAAAAAGCAGUAUUCACUUGAGCACAUCCCAAAAGAAUAACAUUUCAAAUAUGAUGAUUAUUCUCCACCUUCUAAGAGACAAAGACCAACGAGCCACCACAGCCACCAGUCCCGGAACCCGCCAAUGCUGGGGAACCGAAAGUGAGGGAGUUCAACUCUGAGAAAUGGAAUAAUCGUAUGGCUGAUCUAUGUAAACAAGUUGAAGAAUUGUCUGAAAGAAAAUAUGGUAUGUCUAAACUGGAAAAGUCCUGUAAUCCUUUGUUCAUGAGCAUUUACACAAUGGAGUUACUGUUCAUCAUGGGGUACUGUGGACAAGCCCAGGGCUGCUGGUGAAUCCUGCCAUACUUACAGGUUUCUCCUUGUAAGGUUCUUUGUAGUGUCUAAAUAUUAGAAACAUUCUUUGUUUCUAGAUUACUGCAAAGCUAAGGAAAAGUUGUACUUCUUUAAUUAUCAUUAUCAUUUCUUUUAAACUUUCAGCAUGGAUAUUGGAGAUUUACUUACAUAUUUAUUGCAAAGCCCUGGAUCUUAGGGAUUUAAUUGAAUGUUUUAAUACUGUUUCUCUUAAUCUGCCUUGUUAAAUUUGGU
Molecule: long non-coding RNA, 1602 nt
Organism: Homo sapiens (human)
Lineage: Eukaryota; Metazoa; Chordata; Mammalia; Primates; Hominidae
Exons: 3
Source: RefSeq, a predicted model, not a curated record